UGCCAGCCGCCGCGGUAAUACGUAGGGUGCAAGCGUUAAUCGGAAUUACUGGGCGUAAAGCGUGCGCAGGCAGUUUUAUAAGUCAGAUGUGAAAUCCCCGAGCUCAACUUGGGAACUGCGUUUGAAACUGUAAGACUAGAGUGUGUCAGAGGGGGGUAGAAUUCCAAGUGUAGCAGUGAAAUGCGUAGAGAUUUGGAGGAAUACCAAUGGCGAAGGCAGCCCCCUGGGAUAACACUGACGCUCAUGCACGAAAGCGUGGGGAGCAAACAGGAUUAGAUA
RNAcentral lists this ribosomal RNA (279 nucleotides) under uncultured bacterium. RNAcentral's name for it is "partial 16S ribosomal RNA". It matches the Rfam family "Bacterial small subunit ribosomal RNA", at positions 506 to 784 of the family's 1533-position model. The record is from RNAcentral.